GAUUAGAGUUUGAUCCUGGCUCAGGAUGAACGUUGGCGGUGUGCCUAAUACAUGCAAGUCGAACGGAGUUAGUAGCAAUACUGGCUCAGUAGCGAACGGGUGAGUAACGCGUUGGUGAUCUGCCUUGAAGUGUGGAAUAACGUUUCGAAAGGAACGCUAAUACCGCAUGUGCUCUCGAUUUUCAGAAAGUUGAGAGUAAAGGAUUUAUUCGCUUUGAGAGGAGCCUGCGUCCCAUCAGCUAGUUGGUAAGGUAAUGGCCUACCAAGGCGAUGACGGGUAGGGGACCUGAGAGGGUGGCCCCCCACAAUGGAACUGAAACACGGUCCAUACACCUACGGGUGGCAGCAGUAGGGAAUAUUAGAAAUGGACGAAAGUCUGAUCUAGCAACACCGCGUGUGCGAAGAAGGCCUUCGGGUUGUAAAGCACUUUUUGGAAGGAUUAGGAAGGAAUGUACUCCAGAA
Molecule: ribosomal RNA, 461 nt
Filed under: uncultured bacterium
Lineage: Bacteria
Description: bacterial SSU rRNA
Rfam family: Bacterial small subunit ribosomal RNA
Source: RNAcentral